GCCCACUGCAUCCACACUCUGUCGCAUCCCACUGCCGCCUCCACCGCCACCUUGAACCAUAUCUCUCCUUGGUCCUCUCUCUUUGAGUAGCAUGCGGCGACAGCUGCUUCCGGCUGCAUGGUGGAGACGCGGUUGGUCGACGGAACGCGAGUGAGGUGUAAUGUGUAUCGUUCAUCGAUCUGUUCCCAUCUCCUAUUCCUCUCUUAUCAAACGUCGCGUCUGAAGUUGCUGCAACACAUGGUGCUCUCCUUUCCUAUGGCGAUGCAUAUAAGUGACAACAAUGGUGUCCUAUUGUCCCCUCCACACGUCUGACCGCCGAGGCGCGGAAGUAGCCGCAGAAGAUCGCACUCCGCGUAGCAAAUUCUGGUGUGUUGUGUGGCUGCCCGACAAUGUAAUUUUCUUCUCUAAAGUUCUCUCAUGGAACUUGGGCGUGUUUGAUAGAAGGUGUACAUUUUUCUAUGGAAAUAUUUGGAGAUUGUAUGUUUUUCUUCCAGUAUGUGCUAACUCUCAGAUUAUCUGCAUGUUUAGCAAACAAUUCUUCCAUCCAGGAUUAAGAAUCAUAUCUUAUAGAGUGUAUAAUAUUUUCUGUGUAGAUUUGUAACAUUUAAAUAUUGUUGGUUCUGCAAAAGAAAUAGCUUGAUGUAUGGAAUAUUGAGUCACACAUGUUUCUGUGUAUGGUUUGUUUGUUGUAUUUGGUAAUGGAUCUAAAUAGGUGAUCUUUUUAAUACAAAACAUACAUAUUUUUUCUCUAUUUGUAACCAUGGAACCCAUAAUAUCAUUGUUUGUUUUAAUAAUAUGUGUGAUCCUUCCUUUGCAGUUACAGUGUUCAGAUAACAUAGUUUCCAGUUACAAAAAAUAUGCUAAAGAAUUUUUAGAUACACUUUCAGAGUGCCCUCAGAGUGAUUUUCUUGUUUAUUAGUGGGUUCUGCAUAAUUAUAAAUAUGCUCUAAAAUAAAUUAGUAGAUUUAUGUUGCCCCAUUAUGCUUAGAAGAAUAUUCAUGCAUGCCUAUAGAUCUACUUGAUCGAACAGUAUUUAUACAGUCUUCACAAGUAUAGAACAAAAAAAUGUGAUGAAACUUACACAGUAGCAUAACAUUGUAUGCAGAUGAGAAGUUUGAUUUUAAAUUGUUUUUGCCACAACCAAUUCCAAUAUGGCCAAUUCAGUUGCUUCUGUCAUCAAAAGAUUGACAUGAGUCUUAACUUCGAUAGGUAAGGAAUUGAUUUCCCUCUUGAUAGGUUUCUAUCUCUUUGAAUUUAUAUUUUCGUUGCCACCAAAUUACGUCAUUAUUUUCUACAAAUUAAAGUUGAAAUCUGUGGUUUAUGUAUGCUGGUAAAAAAUAAAACAGUGUUCUUGAUAUUCCUCAUCUCUUUUUUUAACACAGUGUGCAUCUUAUAUUCACUCAUGUAAGCAAUCUCAUCAAGACUCC
This 1427-nucleotide long non-coding RNA is filed under the name Triticum aestivum (bread wheat). RNAcentral describes it as "long non-coding RNA (TAES_LNC018521)". The record is from RNAcentral. Lineage: Eukaryota; Viridiplantae; Streptophyta; Magnoliopsida; Poales; Poaceae.